Molecule: long non-coding RNA, 347 nt
Organism: Oncorhynchus tshawytscha (Chinook salmon)
Lineage: Eukaryota; Metazoa; Chordata; Actinopteri; Salmoniformes; Salmonidae
Source: Ensembl
UGAGGGAGUGUGCAUUUGGCAUGUUGACUGCAGGAAUGUCCACCAGAGCUGUUGCCAGAGAAUUUAAUGUUAAUUUCUCUAUCAUAACAAUGUGUAACCAUGUCGUUUUAGAGAAUUUGGCAGUACAUCCAACUGGCCUCACAACUGCAGACCACAUGUAAUCACGUCAGUGCAUACAGCCCUGCUGUGUUUGCACUCAACAUGCUGAGGCAGCAGCUGGCUCUCACCAGACACUUUGUCCAGACCAGCCGCCACCUCCACUCCCUGCAGACUACACAUACACCACACUGGAGGACACCAAGGAGUUCAUUGGCUGUCACAAGCCUCCCAAACUGACCACGGAGGCG